This 253-nucleotide ribosomal RNA is filed under the name uncultured bacterium. RNAcentral describes it as "partial 16S ribosomal RNA". It matches the Rfam family "Bacterial small subunit ribosomal RNA", at positions 524 to 776 of the family's 1533-position model. The record is from RNAcentral.
UACGUACGAGGCGAGCGUUAUCCGGAAUUACUGGGCGUAAAGCGCGCGCAGGCGGACCAUUAAGUUGGGCGUGAAAUCUCCCGGCCUAACUGGGAGGGGUCGCCCAAGACUGGUGGUCUUGAGGACAGCAGAGGUGGGUGGAAUUCCUGGAGUAGUGGUGAAAUGCGUAGAGAUCAGGAGGAACACCGGUGGCGAAGGCGGCCCACUGGGCUGUCACUGACGCUGAGGCGCGAAAGCUCGGGGAGCGAACGGG